CCUACGGGGGGCAGCAGUGAGGAAUAUUGGUCAAUGGGCGCAAGCCUGAACCAGCCAUGCCGCGUGAAGGAAUAAGGUCCUAUGGAUCGUAAACUUCUUUUGAGCGGGAGCAAUAAGGUCUACGUGUAGACCGAUGAGAGUACCGUUCGAAUAAGCAUCGGCUAACUCCGUGCCAGCAGCCGCGGUAAUACGGAGGAUGCAAGCGUUAUCCGGAUUUAUUGGGUUUAAAGGGUGCGUAGGCCGUUGUGCAAGUCAGAGGUGAAAUUGUGGGGCUCAACUCCGCCGCUGCCUUUGAAACUGCAUGACUUGAAUCCUGUUGCCGUGGGAGGAAUGAGUAGUGUAGCGGUGAAAUGCAUAGAUAUUACUCAGAACCCCAAUUGCGAAGGCAUCUCACGAAGCAGGUA
Molecule: ribosomal RNA, 404 nt
Filed under: uncultured Sphingobium sp.
Lineage: Bacteria; Pseudomonadati; Pseudomonadota; Alphaproteobacteria; Sphingomonadales; Sphingobiaceae
Description: bacterial SSU rRNA
Rfam family: Bacterial small subunit ribosomal RNA
Source: RNAcentral